This 253-nucleotide ribosomal RNA is filed under the name uncultured bacterium. RNAcentral's name for it is "partial 16S ribosomal RNA". It matches the Rfam family "Bacterial small subunit ribosomal RNA", at positions 524 to 776 of the family's 1533-position model. The record is from RNAcentral.
UACGUAGGGGGCAAGCGUUGUCCGGAUUUAUUGGGCGUAAAGCGCACGCAGGCGGUGCAGUAAGUUCAGAGUGACAGGUGGUGGCUUAACUACCACAGGCCUCGGGAAACUGCUGCACUUGAGGGCUUGAGAGGGACGCGGAAUUCCAGGUGGAGCGGUGAAAUGCGUAGAGAUCUGGAAGAACACCAAAGGCGAAGGCAGCGUCCUGGCGAGUCACUGACGCUCAGGUGCGAAAGCUAGGGGAGCGAACGGG